UGAGGAAUAUUGCGCAAUGGGGGAAACCCUGACGCAGCAACGCCGCGUGAGUGAGGAAGGUUUUCGGACCGUAAAGCUCUGUCGAGCGGAAAGAAAUGCAUGAUGGCUAAUAUCCGUCAUGCUUGACGGUACCGCUAAAGGAAGCACCGGCUAACUCCGUGCCAGCAGCCGCGGUAAUACGGGGGGUGCAAGCGUUGUUCGGAAUCAUUGGGCGUAAAGAGCGUGUAGGCGGCUGGAUAAGUCAGAUGUGAAAGCCCUGGGCUUAACCCAGGAAGUGCAUUUGAAACUGUUCAGCUGGAGUAAGGGAGAGGAAAGUGGAAGUCCUGGUGUAGAGGUGAAAUUCGUAGAUAUCAGGAGGAACACCGGUGGCGAAGGCGACUUUCUGGCCCUAUACUGACGCUGAGACGCGAGAGCGUGGGUAGCAAACA
RNAcentral lists this ribosomal RNA (428 nucleotides) under uncultured prokaryote. Its description in RNAcentral is "bacterial SSU rRNA". It matches the Rfam family "Bacterial small subunit ribosomal RNA", at positions 355 to 774 of the family's 1533-position model. The record is from RNAcentral.